UAGGGAAUAUUGCACAAUGGGCGAAAGCCUGAUGCAGCAACGCCGCGUGCGCGAAGAAGGUCUUCGGAUCGUAAAGCGCUUUUCUGGGAGAUGAGAAAGGACAGUAUCCCAGGAAUAAGUCUCGGCUAACUACGUGCCAGCAGCCGCGGUAACACGUAGGAGGCGAGCGUUAUCCGGAUUCACUGGGCGUAAAGCGCGUGCAGGCGGUUCGGUAAGUUGGGCGUGAAAUCUCCCGGCUCAACUGGGAGAGGUCGUUCAAUACUACCGGACUUGAGAGCGAUAGAGGAAAAUGGAAUUCCCGGUGUAGUGGUGAAAUGCGUAGAUAUCGGGAGGAACACCAGUGGCGAAAGCGAUUUUCUGGAUCGUUUCUGACGCUCAGACGCGAAAGCUAGGGUAGCAAACGGGAUUAGAUACCCCGGUAG
Molecule: ribosomal RNA, 422 nt
Filed under: uncultured bacterium
Lineage: Bacteria
Description: bacterial SSU rRNA
Rfam family: Bacterial small subunit ribosomal RNA
Source: RNAcentral